GUAGGGUGCAAGCGUUAUCCGGAAUUAUUGGGCGUAAAGGGCUCGUAGGCGGUUCGUCGCGUCCGGUGUGAAAGUCCAUCGCUUAACGGUGGAUCCGCGCCGGGUACGGGCGGGCUUGAGUGCGGUAGGGGAGACUGGAAUUCCCGGUGUAACGGUGGAAUGUGUAGAUAUCGGGAAGAACACCAAUGGCGAAGGCAGGUCUCUGGGCCGUUACUGACGCUGAGGAGCGAAAGCGUGGGGAGCGAACAGGAUUAGAUACCCUGGUAGUCCACGCCGUAAACGGUGGAUGCUGGGUGUGGGGCCCGUUCCACGGGUUCCGUGUCGGAGCUAACGCGUUAAGCAUCCCGCCUGGGGAGU
RNAcentral lists this ribosomal RNA (357 nucleotides) under uncultured bacterium. Its description in RNAcentral is "bacterial SSU rRNA". It matches the Rfam family "Bacterial small subunit ribosomal RNA", at positions 527 to 881 of the family's 1533-position model. The record is from RNAcentral.